UACGUAGGUGGCAAGCGUUGUCCGGAAUUAUUGGGCGUAAAGCGCGCGCAGGCGGUCCUUUAAGUCUGAUGUGAAAGCCCACGGCUCAACCGUGGAGGGUCAUUGGAAACUGGGGGACUUGAGUGCAGGAGAGAAGAGUGGAAUUCCACGUGUAGCGGUGAAAUGCGUAGAGAUGUGGAGGAACACCAGUGGCGAAGGCGACUACCUGGCCUGUUCUUGACGCUGAGGCGCGAAAGCUAGGGGAGCAAACGGG
This 253-nucleotide ribosomal RNA is filed under the name uncultured bacterium. Its description in RNAcentral is "partial 16S ribosomal RNA". It matches the Rfam family "Bacterial small subunit ribosomal RNA", at positions 524 to 776 of the family's 1533-position model. The record is from RNAcentral.